RNAcentral lists this unclassified non-coding RNA (346 nucleotides) under soil metagenome. RNAcentral's name for it is "partial contains 5.8S ribosomal RNA, internal transcribed spacer 2, and large subunit ribosomal RNA". The stretch from base 1 to 120 matches the Rfam family "5.8S ribosomal RNA", at positions 35 to 154 of the family's 154-position model. The record is from RNAcentral.
GAUGAAGAACGUAGCGAAAUGCGAUAAGUAGUGUGAAUUGCAGAAUUCAGUGAAUCAUCGAAUCUUUGAACGCACAUUGCGCCCCUUGGUAUUCCAUGGGGCAUGCCUGUUCGAGCGUCAUUGCUGCCCUCAAGCACGGCUUGUGUGUUGGGCCCCGUCCUCCGAUCCCGGGGGACGGGCCCGAAAGGCAGCGGCGGCACCGCGUCCGGUCCUCGAGCGUAUGGGGCUUUGUCACCCGCUCUGUAGGCCCGGCCGGCGCUUGCCGAUCAACCCAAAUUUUUAUCCAGGUUGACCUCGGAUCAGGUAGGGAUACCCGCUGAACUUAAGCAUAUCAAUAAGCGGAGGA